RNAcentral lists this long non-coding RNA (1080 nucleotides) under Marmota monax (woodchuck). Lineage: Eukaryota; Metazoa; Chordata; Mammalia; Rodentia; Sciuridae. The record is from RNAcentral.
CCGAGAGUAACCUUCCUAGAAAAGAGUGUGGAAACUCAGAACCAGGCCUCCGAGGCCAUCCCUGCCUCCUAGACCUUGGGCACACCAUUGUCUUCUUGCCAUGUCUUUCUGAUUAUCCUUUCUCAGUCGCCCUGACUCCUCCCCUGCUUCUUCCUUGAAUAUCAGGCUCCCACAGCUCUACUCUCUAGCUUAUCUUCUUGCACUGCACUGCAUCGAAACCCCUACUCCCAGUUUCUCCUCCAAGCUUAGAAUCCAAAUUUCCAAUUACAUAAUGGGACACUGCAAAUUUAAUAUAUCCCAAACUAGCCUUGGCUCCUUCACUCCCUUUCUCAACCCCAGACAGAAAACAUAAGCAUCUCCUUCAGCCGUCCCUCCCCUCCUGCACUUCAGCUGGGGGAGCAGGAAGUCCUCGGGACUUGGUCUUGGAAGCAUCUCUCCAUCCAAUCCUCCCCUCUGCCUACUGGCACAGCCUAGGUCAGCCCCCAUCCUGUGUCAGCAGCACUGGGAAGUCACCUCCUAAUCUUAGCCUCCUCACUCCUCUCUCUACACACAUCCGACACACUCUACUUCACCCCACACAUCAAGAACCAACUCUGAUCUGUUCCAUGUGGAAGACUAUGUAUCCCCCUUCUUUGCCUAAAUGAACAGAGCUUCCAUUCCUUAUCAGAAAACACCAGGCCAUAGAUAAUGUGACUCUAAUACAAGCUUCCAGGUUUAUAUCUUCCUGUGUCUCUCCCCCUCACCCACACAUCCACACCUCUCUCUCUCUCUCUCUCUCUCUCAUUCAUUCCACUUUCCAGCAAUAAGAGUAUCUAAAAUACCCUUCCAUUAUCCUGGUGACAUCAGCCAUCAGUCAGUAUUUAGCAAUAUGAAAAUUAAUUCCAGUGGAAAAACCACAUUGUAGAAUUAAGCAAACCCGUGAAGUAGUUUUGAGUUGAAAAAAGAAAAAUUGAUCUAUGUCAUUGUUUGACUAAGGAAAUAAAGGAUCACUUGAAUAGUAAGAAUAAGAUUUUUUUCUAAAUCACAUGAUGCAGACCUUGAGCGUUAAUUCUUCAGCCUGAGACUAUCUACAUAAGAAAC